AGCGAACGCUGGCGGCAGGCCUAACACAUGCAAGUCGAGCGCCCAGCAAUGGGAGCGGCAGACGGGAGAGUAACACGUGGGAACGUGCCCUUCAGUUCGGAACAACCAAGGGAAACUUUGGCUAAUACCGGAUACGUCCGAAAGGAGAAAGAUUUAUCGCUGAAGGAGCGGCCCGCGUCUGAUUAGCUAGUUGGUGAGGUAAUGGCUCACCAAGGCGACGAUCAGUAGCUGGUCUGAGAGGAUGAUCAGCCUCACUGGGACUGAGACACGGCCCAGACUCCUACGGGAGGCAGCAGUGGGGAAUAUUGG
Molecule: ribosomal RNA, 309 nt
Filed under: uncultured bacterium
Lineage: Bacteria
Description: bacterial SSU rRNA
Rfam family: Bacterial small subunit ribosomal RNA
Source: RNAcentral